UGCUAGUGUUAGGGGGUUUCCGCCCCUUAGUGCUGCAGCUAACGCAUUAAGCACUCCGCCUGGGGAGUACGAUCGCAAGGCUGAAACUCAAAGGAAUUGACGGGGGCCCGCACAAGCGGUGGAGCAUGUGGUUUAAUUCGAAGCAACGCGAAGAACCUUACCAGGUCUUGACAUCCUCUGACAACCCUAGAGAUAGGGCUUUCCCUUCGGGGACAGAGUGACAGGUGGUGCAUGGUUGUCGUCACCUCUUGCCGAGA
Molecule: ribosomal RNA, 257 nt
Filed under: Bacillus sp. (in: firmicutes)
Lineage: Bacteria; Bacillati; Bacillota; Bacilli; Caryophanales; Bacillaceae
Description: Bacillus sp. (in: Bacteria) partial 16S ribosomal RNA
Rfam family: Bacterial small subunit ribosomal RNA
Source: RNAcentral